CAUGUACUAUUCCUGCUAUCCGUGGUGCGCUCAUCGCCCUUCUUGGCAGCCAGUUCUAUCAUUUCGGAUUAGAGUUUGUCAGCAGAAAUUCGAUUAGAACAGAGGAGUUCUUACAGAUGCUUGGGAGCCAGCAUUGCCGGCGUGCAGCUGUAGAAGCAGUCCUUGCGGAGUUUCUUCGGAGGGAACUGUGAGAAUGGAAUGAAUGUCGUACCUUUCGAUGCCUUGAGCUGUUCUUGUUCGCUCACUCUGCUUCCCACCAACCAUAUCUACCGAAGCAGACACUUUCCGGACCAAAUUGUGUGCAGCAUCUGUGCUCAGCUUUGCCUUAAGCUUCUUGAAGUCAUCCUCGGAUGUGGUAAAGACCUAUCGACGUUACGAGGAGCUUGGGAUAAGAAUAUGCAGUUUUUGACAGGCUACCGAGCAUGGCGACCUCAGUUGCUCGUUUCGGGAUGGCGUUUAGCACGAUGGAAACUGCUAGACUACUCCCGUCGACCAACUUCACUCUUAGCCGAGGGUGAUUUCUCACGAAAAGCUCGCCG
This is a long non-coding RNA of Andrographis paniculata, 539 nucleotides long. RefSeq lists it as uncharacterized. The record is from RefSeq and is a predicted model, not a curated record. Lineage: Eukaryota; Viridiplantae; Streptophyta; Magnoliopsida; Lamiales; Acanthaceae. The transcript is spliced from 4 exons.